UCGGUGUCUCCGGAGCCCCCCCACACACACCGCGCCGACACCGCCGGCCCCGGCCCUCACAGACCGCUGGGCUCGUCCUUUCCAUCCUCAGUCCCUUGCCUCAACGAGUGUAAAAACUGUUGGUCGUGAUGUUGAAAGCUGCAGGCUUUCGCUCCAAGCCCGGACGGCGAACACCCCAAGGAAGACGAGAGACCGGCUUGUUGCAAAAGCAAGAGGUGCUGGGUUAGUGAGAAAACACUGGGCUGGAGAAGAGCAGGAAAGAACAGGCAGCUGGGUCAUUGAAACACCAUCACUCAGUUUUGCUACUACCCAGACGACAGCCAAAGUAUGUGCUGUAGAAGAUACCACAUCUGAUGUUUUCCUUUAGGUGACAAUAAAAGGGGAAAAGAUCUUGCUGUAUCUGGUUCUGUUCUUGAAAAGACAUGACAAAGCUCCAACACAGAUGACAGUGAAACUACCACAUCUGUAAGUGUUAGAUUUUCUGUUCAAAUGUCAGAAUGAAUUAAGUGAAGCAUCUGUAAGGCAGAUUAGGAAUACUGUAGUCAGCUAUCACGUCCUUUUCUGUAACAAAUCUGGGACUAACUCUUGAUCUAGUUAAAAGAGAACGUUGUCCUUCAAGUUUGUGGU
Colius striatus (speckled mousebird) is the source of this 627-nucleotide long non-coding RNA. RefSeq lists it as uncharacterized. Lineage: Eukaryota; Metazoa; Chordata; Aves; Coliiformes; Coliidae. The transcript is spliced from 3 exons. The record is from RefSeq and is a predicted model, not a curated record.